Molecule: unclassified non-coding RNA, 325 nt
Filed under: Hevea brasiliensis (rubber tree)
Lineage: Eukaryota; Viridiplantae; Streptophyta; Magnoliopsida; Malpighiales; Euphorbiaceae
Source: RNAcentral
GAGGAAGUGGAGAAGUUGAAUUCAAAGAGGGUCAAUUUGGAAAAAAAAGUAAAAGAGAUGGAGAAGGAAACAGAAAACAGGGUCCAGAAGGAGGUUAGCUUGGAGGAAAGAAUCAGUGUGUUGUUGGAUGAAGUGGAAAAUUCAAAUACAAUGAGGGUGAGCUUGGAGGAGGAAGUAAAAGAGACGGAGAAGGAAAGAGAGAACUGGGUCCAAAAGGAGAAAUCAUUCAGAGAAAUAAUUUCCAGCCUAAGUGGUGACAAUGCACUUUUAGAGACGCAGGUGAAGGAGUUCGAAGAGUUGAGGACCAAUAUAUUACAAGAAAAUC